GGGGCUGACAGGUUUCGACGUCAGUGUCGCUGGGCGAUCGUGCGACCCGAGUUGCUCAGACUCGUAAAACGGGGCAAAAAAACAACUGCCAACAAGCAGUUCGCUCUCGCCGCUUAAUUUAUUAAGGGGUAGAGAGCAAUCGUGAGCCGCAAGGUCGCACGGGGCCAAUUCACCGCAGCCUGGCAACAGAAGCGGGGAAUGACAUUGGGAAAGACCGAUGACGUUGGGAAAGACCAAUGGCCGAACGGAAAGACGUUCCGCGGAUAAAC
RNAcentral lists this transfer-messenger RNA (269 nucleotides) under Actinomycetota bacterium. RNAcentral's name for it is "Actinobacteria bacterium partial transfer-messenger RNA". It matches the Rfam family "transfer-messenger RNA", at positions 1 to 302 of the family's 374-position model. Rfam says of the family: Bacterial tmRNA, also known as 10Sa RNA or SsrA, is named for its dual tRNA and mRNA-like properties. Its role is to liberate the mRNA from a stalled ribosome. To accomplish this part of the tmRNA is used as a reading frame that ends in a translation stop signal. Lineage: Bacteria; Bacillati; Actinomycetota. The record is from RNAcentral.